GACGAACGCUGGCGGCGUGCUUAACACAUGCAAGUCGAACGGAAAGGCCCUGCUUUUGUGGGGUGCUCGAGUGGCGAACGGGUGAGUAACACGUGAGUAACCUGCCCUUGACUUUGGGAUAACUUCAGGAAACUGGGGCUAAUACCGUAUAGGAGCUCCUGCUGCAUGGUGGGGGUUGGAAAGUUUCGGCGGUUGGGGAUGGACUCGCGGCUUAUCAGCUUGUUGGUGGGGGAGUGGCUUACCAAGGCUUUGACGGGUAGCCGGCCUGAGAGGGUGACCGGCCACAUUGGGACUGAGAGACGGCCCAGACUCCUACGGGAGACAGCAGGGGGGAAUAUGGCACAAUGGGCGGAAGCCUGAUGCAGCAACGCCGCGGGCGGGAUGACGGCCUUCGGGUUGUAAACCGCUUUAGCCUGUGACGAAGCGUGAGUGACGGUAAUGGGUAAAGAAGCACCGGCUAACUACGUG
This 468-nucleotide ribosomal RNA is filed under the name uncultured bacterium. Its description in RNAcentral is "partial 16S ribosomal RNA". It matches the Rfam family "Bacterial small subunit ribosomal RNA", at positions 28 to 507 of the family's 1533-position model. The record is from RNAcentral.